This 4317-nucleotide long non-coding RNA is filed under the name Homo sapiens (human). Its description in RNAcentral is "HSALNT0363819". Lineage: Eukaryota; Metazoa; Chordata; Mammalia; Primates; Hominidae. The record is from RNAcentral.
AUCCACUCAGCGGCACAGACUCCCGAAAGUGUCGCUCCAGUCCGAGUUGGCUCCUGUCCCUUGUCCACAUAGACCGUCUCCCCGCUCCCCCAAUAUGGCACAAGGUGCCUAGGCCGUGUGGGGCGUCGGCAGAUGGAAACUUGACCCAGAAUGGACAAGUGAUUCUCCAGGUCCAGGACUAAAACAUGGGCCUCUCAACAUCUCAGCAGGCAGGUGGAAGAGAUGGAGCAAACUCACUUGGAGCAAAGAUGGGCAGGAGGGGAACAGCGAAGCCCAGGCCAACGGCACCACAGGGCCCCUGGCAGAACAUGGACAGAGACAGUGUGAUUCCAGGGCUCUGUUCCCUUGCUGCUGCCUCCAUGGGCCCCGUACAUGUGCUCAUGAUUCUUAGACACAAACAAAGCUCCCAACACAGUGAUGGAAAUGCAGCUGCCAAGGGGGAUUGCCAAGGAAACCAUCUUUGAAAGGCUCAUUAUUCUUAUGAAGAAUCUGCAGGAGACAGGAGUUCUCAAAACAACUCUCGCUCCGCCUCUAUCCUCAACCGGACUCUGUGGGAGUGUCUCUUUUAGUAAUUAUCCUGUUCUUUGGUAAUUAUCUGCCUCUCCUGCUAGCCUGUGGGACUGUGUUUUCUUCAUCUUUGCAUCAUGAGUAUCUAGCACAGGGUCUGGCUCAUUGUAGUACCUGGCAGAUAUUGGUGGGAAAAACACAUGGCUGGUGUAGCUUCUUCUCUUUAUUCACUUUUAAUUUUUUUCUCUUUUAUCCAUUCACUGAACAAAUCUACUGAGACCCUGCUCUGUGUCAGGCCCUCACUGGGGACACAGAAGUGAAUGAGAGCCAAGCCCUGACUUGGGGGAAGGAGCUCCUAGAGUGAGGCAGGAGACAGACCUGUAAACACACACCACAAACAUGACGCCACCACCUGGGUACAGGCACCACCUCCAAGCUGGGCCCUAAGCCUUAUCGGCCUGUGUCUCUUCAAACCAGAGAGGCUCAAAGAUCUUAUUAGGGGCCAAGCUGUCACUUUGUUGGAGAAGUCUUCCCUCUCUAUUCCAUAAAAGCAAAACUCCAGAAGCCAAAUCAAAGGUGCCCAGGGCUGGAAGGAUAGACUGCUGGGCCAUGGGUCUCCUGAGCCUCUGCUGCAAUCUCCCUGGCAGGUGGCUGCCCAGCCGCUGCUCGCACUGCCUGGGGUGGGCUGCACAUGCCCGGUGAGGCAGCCUCCUCCUCAGUGGCCACUGGUUAGACCUGAGCAGAAGCUUGCAUUGCAGUCAGCUCCACUCCUUCCUAUCUCUGCACUGAUCCCUGUUUUGCACUCCAGGGCCACCCUUUUAGUGAAUGCCCUGCUGGCUGCCCCAGGACAGUCUUUCAGGUAUUUGAAGGGGGCAGCAACUGGGUCUGUAUCCCUGGCUUCUCCAAGUAACACAAGCCCCACAACAGUUCAGACUUGGUUCCCAGAGCCCUCACAUUCCAACUGCCCUCCUUACAAUGUGUCUCAGUUGGCUCUGUCCCUUGGACAGUGUAACUCCAGAACUAAAGGCCACAUUGUAGGUUGGUCUCCACACAGGACACACCUCCUCUGCCCUGGAGUCUAUACCUCCAAUGAUCAGCCCAAGCAGCUCUAGCUUUAUCAGUGCUGGCUGCCCAAACACCACCCCUCGCCAUCCACUUAGCAACCUCUACUCCGUAACUGAAGAAUCUUCCUCAGUGAAAAAACCUCUGAGCCUCUACUUCCUUUUUCUGUGUUCCCACAGUGCCCCCACCCCCACCCCCACCUUGGCAGCAGCCCUAUCAGAUCAGCUUCAAUAGUUUUGUAUCUGCCUCUCUAGACUGGGCACUUUCAGGCCAGGGACCAUGCCUGCUUCAUCUCUCUUUCCCUCUCUCCCUCCCCUCCUCUCCUCUCUCUCUUCCCUGCCUCUUGCCUCCUUCCGUACUUCCACAAACAUUUACUAAAUGCCUACUAUGUGCCAGGCCAUAGGGAUCACUAGCAUAGGGCUGGCACAUGGUAGGAGGCCUACUUUCUCAAUGAGGAGUUUUAAAAUAGCUCAUACAAGAUCAAAUUCUAACAACCGCAUUUACAUGACAUGAAAAUGUUUUCCUAUUUUUAACUUAGCACCUUUUUUGGCCCUCCAAAUGAUAACAUCUCUUUAAGGUUUCUGAGAUAACUUUACAUACAAGGCAUUUGAUUCUCACAACAAUGGUGUCAGCCAGGCAGACAGAAAGCCCUCUCCUCACCUUCCAGAAGCGAAAACGCGGUGCAGAAAGCUGAAGUAAGUUGCCCAAAGUCACACAGUGAGUUCGGGCAAAGUCAGGACCUUAAUGGAGGAGCUCUUUCCUCUCUAUAGUAUCCCUCCUUGUGGAAUAUACAGAUAUAGAGAUUCCAAAUUUGUCUGUAGAUGCCUGGACUGGGCUCGGCUUGAGAUGACUCUGACUGGCUCUGGCUGGAGCCAAUGACUUCUGCAGGUUCCAGCUCAGAGCUCCCAACUGCAUCUCCUUAGAGAGUUGCCCCUCUGGGCCCAGGCCCCCAACAACCUGGCUGGCUACUCCCACUGCACAGCUCCCCCUACCCACCAGGUUUACUUCCUAGCAUUCAGCCGACCCUGAAAAAGAAGACCUUAGCCCCAGAAAGCAGUGGCAUCCUGCCUAAGAGUGCCCAUCCACAUUCACACCUGGAAGCCCUACCUGUGCAGCUGCCAAUCAGUCUACCAGCCCAGGGCCACACUGAGUCCGCCAGAUGUGGCUCAUCACACAGAAACACCAGCUAGGACCACAGUUAGGAGAAAUGCUGCCUCCACAAGACUUAAUUCUGGGUCAGGGGUGGAGGGAGUGAACUGUGUAGAUCAAACUCAGCUUCUCUGACCUUCUUGUGACUCAUUUUCCAUAGACGAGAGUAUGGAGAGUCAUUGAACGUUUCAGAGCAAGCGAGGGACAGAGGAGGAGGCUGCUGUUUCAGGCGAUGCACAUCUCUGCAACAGGAAUCCUACAGAUAGUCCCAAGUGCUGGACAAGGAAUGGGUUUUAGGGUCACCCAAACCUGGGUUCACAUCCUGGCUCACCACUUACAAGUUGUGUGACUUUGUUCCUUAAUCACCGAGUUCUGAUUUGUUUAUCUGUAAAUGGGAGUGACACCUGCAGACUCUAACCUUACUGUGAGGAUUAAAUGAGACGAAGUGUGUAAAGGCCAAGUAAAGGUUCAUUCCCUCCCCCUAGGCUGUGGCAACUCUGCAUUUUACAAAAGUCGAAUCAAGAUCUGGGGCCAGCCCCUAGUUCAGGUCUUUCCCUGCCACUCUGGGUUCCCUCCAGGCAGACAUGUUCUUCUGAAAUACAGGGAAAUGGUUGCACUUAGGUGGGUAAGUGGCUAGGUGGUUAUGUUUUCUUUGUGGUUAUUUACCUAUUUAUUUUUGCCAAUGUUAAAUACUUUUUCUAGAUUUGGCCUGCUAGGGAGAACUAAAUAAAUUUCCAAUUGUAUGAGAAAUAUUUUUAAAGGCAUUCUCGAUUGUUUUAGCACCAAGAAGGCAAAGUCAAAGGCACAGCAGAUUGUCCCAGUGGGCUGCCAGGAAUCUAAUAAUUCUGCUAAUGACCCUUUUUAAAAUGUAAAGUGUUGGACUAAGGCAGCGCUCAAUUCUUGUCUAACACUAUGCUCCUGGGAACUUGCAAAUCAUCAUUGUCUUCCCCCAACCCCCAUCUAAAGCAAAGGAUCGGAUCUUGAGCAAUUAAUCAAAAUUGGUUUCCUGCAUCCAGAGGGGAUCACUCCAAAUGAAUGUGGAAUUGCAGAGAUGGAUCUGCACCAGCUGAUUUAUAGGGUGUGCUUAGAGAGCAGGGGCCAGAUGAAAGGCUGGGGGACGGGAAGAGGCAGCAAGAGCCAACACUAGAUGGCGUUAAUCUCAGGCCAUUGUGUGGCAGGAGUGGAUUCACCUUGUGUAGCUCCAGCUGCCAUACUGUUAGGGACCAGGGGCAGUAAUUAACUGGGAAGCUGUGGUCAGCAAAACUACCCAUAACAUGAGCUAUUGGCGAGGGCAUUGCACACUCCAGUUUGCAGAGGACUUUUGCAUGCCUCCCCAUGGGGCCCUCACCGCAGGCCUGGGAAUCAGGUAUCCCUUGCUUUCAGAGCUCUUGCCACCUGCUAUCCUGAACUCUGAAAACAAACAGGUCGAAAUAAAUAAAAUUAUCCCUUGCUGGCCAAAUUCUUGCUUCCUGAAUUGGGAACCAAAUAUAUUCGAAGAGUGAUCGAUAUUUGUAUUAUUGUUAUCUAUUGGAGGCUUAAAGAAAUUAAGAGACUCAGUUAAGGUCACACAGCUAGUAAAUAGUAGAGCUUGGAUUUAGA